AUUACAGAGAAUAGAUGGGACACCUCUUAACCCCCACCACAAUUGAUGUUUUUAGUGAGGAUCGCAACCGCUUGGUGGCGCUACAUUCGCAGUUAGUUUAUUGUUCAGCCGCUAGGCCCGCUAGGUGCGAUUCAAGCAUGGCUUCAGUGACAAUAAAGUUCAGAAUUUGAGAGGUUAAGUUCGUUCUUUUCUGUUAAAAAAUGUUGUAUUAUUAGUGGACGUUGAAGGUAUUAGUGAUUUGUAAGCUAAUUUAUACCUUUUAAAAAUGAUAAAAAUGAACAAUUGUUGUGUACCUGGAUGUAUGGACCGAGUAAGCCAGACAUCGUUUCCCCAAAGCCAAUCCAAGUAUUUUUAAAACUUGGUUAGAAGUUAUUAAUCCACAAAAUUGGCAAGAAUUAUCCGAUGAACAGAUUUACAAUAGAUAUUACGUGUGUCAUCCACAUUUUACCAAGCUGGACAUACAAGAACCACAAUCUGACUCGAUGAUGAAUAAGAAAAAAAUUCAAAAAGGGGUUAGAAAGUCAAUUUUGACGAGGUUGCAGUACACUAGGAUUUCACAACUAACUGCAAAAGAAAAAGUAAUGUACUCAAUGUUGAAAGAGUGCAAUGCAAGGAUGAGUCAGCUUAAAUACCAAAAUAAAUGUCUGAGGUAACAAUUAGCUUAUGCAAAAAAAAUUAUUUCAUCUCGUGGAUUUCAAACGCUUUCUUAGCAUAUCUCUGGACCAACUUAUAAUUUCAUCUUAUGUCAAUUGAGGAAUCAGACAGUCAAGGUAAACAUAAAAAGAUAAUUAUUAUUCAUUUAUAAAUAUUGAUGGUUUCACUUUGUGGGAAAACAAUAUUUGUUUAUUCAUAUACCUGCAAUGUAUACCGAUUGUAUAUUUUUCUUAUAAAUAUUAUUCUGAAUUCGUUGAAAGUACGUAAGUAGAUGUCUGUCUACUUGAAAAAACCUGUACAUAUAUUUUAAAUAUUAUUCUGAAUUUUUAAUGCGAGUAAUUUCACUUAAAUUCUUUGAAAGUUCAUAAUUGUUCAUUCAUAUUGAUGGUUUCACUUAGUGGGAAAACAAUGUUUGUUUAUUUAUAUACCUGAUAAUGUUCGAUGUAUAACAAUUUUAUAUAUUUCUUGUAAAUAUUAUUCUGAAUUUGUUGAAAGUACAUAAUAUUUUCACUUUGUGGGAAAUGUUUGUUUAAUUGAAAUUUCACGAAUAUGUAAGUAAUUAUUAUUAUGUAAAUAAACAUUAUUAUUAUAAUUAUUAA
Long non-coding RNA from Coccinella septempunctata (seven-spotted ladybird), 1253 nucleotides. RefSeq lists it as uncharacterized. The transcript is spliced from 2 exons. Lineage: Eukaryota; Metazoa; Arthropoda; Insecta; Coleoptera; Coccinellidae. The record is from RefSeq and is a predicted model, not a curated record.